This is a long non-coding RNA of Felis catus (domestic cat), 887 nucleotides long. RefSeq lists it as uncharacterized. Lineage: Eukaryota; Metazoa; Chordata; Mammalia; Carnivora; Felidae. The record is from RefSeq and is a predicted model, not a curated record. The transcript has 3 exons.
GUGUGAUUGUUGGAUACGGGCAGGCAAAAGUGCCCUCUCCUGAUUGUGUACCAGUGACAGCAUUCCCUACUUGUUUUUCUAGUAAGUCUGUGCGAUAACAGACCAAAUUAAUGGAACAAUAAAUUCAACCCUAAAUAUAGAUGAGAACAACCACCGAAAUUUUCUAGAAUCGUGCAGUCCACUUAUAUGUAAAUCAUGAAUGGAAACGACACUUUGUAACAAGCAUUCUUUCUGCUACUGUUCAAGCCUCUGGAUCACUUCACAUGGACUGGCACUGAGGGAAGUAAAAACAUUUAAAAAAACAACAACAAAAAACAAUUUGGAACUUUUCAUAAUAUUCUGUAGAGGAAGGUACAGGAGAACAUCUCAGCUAAUGUAUGAAAAUCUCUUGCAGGUCAAAUAUCCUCCAGCAUAUGUCUGAGUUAAUUGAUACAUUUUCUAUCAGAGAAGGCUAAAAAAAAAACCAACAACAACAAAAAACAAAAACAAACCAACAAACAAACAUCAUCACUUCCUUCUACCUGUGUUGAUACUAAAGUUAACGAGUAUUUGUCUAAGAAGACUUUAUAAUGGCAAACACAGAACAAAUGACUAAACUCUUCAUGUGAACUUCAUGUGAACUCUUACAUUCAUGAGAACGCCUCAGUUUGUAGAUACGACAGCACUAUGUUGGAGGAUAACACAGGGACCUAGAUCAAAGUUCAAAAAUGGCAGAGCUGAAGAAUGAAGAGGACUCAGGCAUGGGACCAGCAUUCAACCAGCACAUAAGUACCCUGCUAUCAGCCUCAUAAUCUGACCAUUUAAAAGACCUGGAACAGGGGCGCCUGGGUGGUGCAGUCAGUUAAGCAUCCGACUUCAGCCAGGUCACGAUCUCAAGGUCCGGGAGU